AACAAGUCAUAUAAGCCGAGAACCUAUCGCGGACUUUACAUCGAUACGAAUCAGGAAGAAAUCACGACAGGAAAAAACGAUAGCCGGUUAGUCACCGCACAAUCCUUAAACCGAAAGUAAACCUAGGUCUUGCCCUAAACCCAGCGCACUGGUCUCUAACAUCUCAAAGACAUGAUAUCGAAAGAUAAGAGAUUCUUAAACCAUGCCUCUAUGUUUAUGUUCGACACCUUCAGCACCCCCGCAGAGUUCACAUCUCGCUGAAGAACUCUCGAAACAGAUCUCGAAUGAAACAUUUCACAAUCGAAGAAGGAUAUGAGAUGACAACUCAUCACCUUCCUCCCCACUAUUCACGAACUCAUAAAAAAGCGUUAUCCGAUUAUCGUACUAUUGAAAGAAAGCCGCGGAGCGGCAGGGAUUCAAACCCACACACGGCCAGUCCCGAAAUACAAACAAGGCCAUUCAAGGCCGAAACAUAAAAACAAAAAAAAAUCUCUCGCAAGAGAUCUAACCCAAGUCACCCUCAGAACUUACGCCCCCUCUUCACCCGCUGCCUCGUCCGAGCCUGGAGCCGCGUCG
RNAcentral lists this long non-coding RNA (576 nucleotides) under Brassica rapa (field mustard). RNAcentral describes it as "long non-coding RNA (BRAP_LNC006856)". The record is from RNAcentral. Lineage: Eukaryota; Viridiplantae; Streptophyta; Magnoliopsida; Brassicales; Brassicaceae.